Molecule: ribosomal RNA, 511 nt
Filed under: uncultured bacterium
Lineage: Bacteria
Description: bacterial SSU rRNA
Rfam family: Bacterial small subunit ribosomal RNA
Source: RNAcentral
GAGUUUGAUCCUGGCUCAGAUUGAACGCUGGCGGCAGGCCUAACACAUGCAAGUCGAGCGGUAGAGAGAAGCUUGCUUCUCUUGAGAGCGGCGGACGGGUGAGUAAUGCCUAGGAAUCUGCCUGGUAGUGGGGGAUAACGCUCGGAAACGGACGCUAAUACCGCAUACGUCCUACGGGAGAAAGCAGGGGACCUUCGGGCCUUGCGCUAUCAGAUGAGCCUAGGUCGGAUUAGCUAGUUGGUGAGGUAAUGGCUCACCAAGGCGACGAUCCGUAACUGGUCUGAGAGGAUGAUCAGUCACACUGGAACUGAGACACGGUCCAGACUCCUACGGGAGGCAGCAGUGGGGAAUAUUGGACAAUGGGCGAAAGCCUGAUCCAGCCAUGCCGCGUGUGUGAAGAAGGUCUUCGGAUUGUAAAGCACUUUAAGUUGGGAGGAAGGCAGUAAAUUAAUACUUGCUGUUUUGACGUUACCGACAGAAUAAGCACCGGCUAACUCUGUGCCAGCCGCCG